Molecule: ribosomal RNA, 468 nt
Filed under: uncultured bacterium
Lineage: Bacteria
Description: partial 16S ribosomal RNA
Rfam family: Bacterial small subunit ribosomal RNA
Source: RNAcentral
GAUGAACGCUGACAGAAUGCUUAACACAUGCAAGUCUACUUGAAUUUGGGUUUUUUAACUUCGAUUUGGGUGGCGGACGGGUGAGUAACGCGUAAAGAACUUGCCUCACAGCUAGGGACAACAUUUGGAAACGAAUGCUAAUACCUGAUAUUAUGAUUAUAAGGCAUCUUAGAAUUAUGAAAGCUAUAUGCGCUGUGAGAGAGCUUUGCGUCCCAUUAGCUAGUUGGAGAGGUAACGGCUCACCAAGGCGAUGAUGGGUAGCCGGCCUGAGAGGGUGAACGGCCACAAGGGGACUGAGACACGGCCCUUACUCCUACGGGAGGCAGCAGUGGGGAAUAUUGGACAAUGGACCAAGAGUCUCAUCCAGCAAUUCUGUGUGCACGAUGACGUUUUUCGGAAUGUAAAGUGCUUUCAGUUGGGAAGAAAAAAAUGACGGUACCAACAGAAGAAGUGACGGCUAAAUACGUG